Molecule: non-coding RNA, 100 nt
Organism: Acanthosepion pharaonis
Lineage: Eukaryota; Metazoa; Mollusca; Cephalopoda; Sepiida; Sepiidae
Source: the annotation of a GenBank genome assembly
AUCCCAUUGAAACAAGUUUCCAUAUGAUCACUGAAGUUAAGCAAUGCCGAGCCUGGUUAGUACCUAGAUGGGUGAGUGCUUAGGAAUACUAGGUGCUAUA